RNAcentral lists this transfer RNA (72 nucleotides) under Danio rerio (zebrafish). It matches the Rfam family "tRNA". Rfam says of the family: Transfer RNA (tRNA) molecules are approximately 80 nucleotides in length. Their secondary structure includes four short double-helical elements and three loops (D, anti-codon, and T loops). Further hydrogen bonds mediate the characteristic L-shaped molecular structure. tRNAs have two regions of fundamental functional importance: the anti-codon, which is responsible for specific mRNA codon recognition, and the 3' end, to which the tRNAs corresponding amino acid is attached (by aminoacyl-tRNA synthetases). tRNAs cope with the degeneracy of the genetic code in two manners: having more than one tRNA (with a specific anti-codon) for a particular amino acid; and 'wobble' base-pairing, i.e. permitting non-standard base-pairing at the 3rd anti-codon position. Lineage: Eukaryota; Metazoa; Chordata; Actinopteri; Cypriniformes; Danionidae. The record is from Rfam by way of RNAcentral.
GUUUCUGUAGUGUAGUGGUCAUCACGUUCACCUAACAUGCAAAAGGUCCUCAGUUCGAAUCGAGCAGAAACA